UGAGGAAUAUUGGUCAAUGGGCGGAAGCCUGAACCAGCCAAGUCGCGUGAGGGAAGACGGCCCUACGGGUUGUAAACCUCUUUUNCCGGGGAGCAAUGCCCAGCUCGCGAGCUGGGAAGGAGAGUACCCGGAGAAAAAGCAUCGGCUAACUCCGUGCC
Molecule: ribosomal RNA, 158 nt
Filed under: uncultured bacterium
Lineage: Bacteria
Description: partial 16S ribosomal RNA
Rfam family: Bacterial small subunit ribosomal RNA
Source: RNAcentral